Molecule: long non-coding RNA, 1982 nt
Organism: Gasterosteus aculeatus aculeatus (three-spined stickleback)
Lineage: Eukaryota; Metazoa; Chordata; Actinopteri; Perciformes; Gasterosteidae
Source: Ensembl
CCUAACCUCACAGGCAUCAUAAAUCAUUCAGCAGGCCAUUGAAAGUGAUGCAGCACAACUAUCCUGCUACUACAUCUCUGUCCUAUACCAACAGACAGAUCAGGACAUGUGUGCAAGACUACAGCAGACAGGAGUGAGGUUACUACACCAUCUUCAAAUACUUCAACUUCUUUAUUGGCUACGACCAAAACGAGGCAGGACAUCAAGAGACUUUUCACAGGUCCUGGAUGAAGAAUUUCAAAACCUCGGCAGCUGGACAUAUUAACUAUGCUAUGGACUUGUAGAUGGGAGAGUUUCAGGUGUGUGUGGUGGCUGAGUGUUGUGCUUCUUAGUCUGGUCCAUGGAAACAACUUAAGUCAUCAGUUCCAGGAGAGGCCAUCCUGCCGGCCAGGUUUCUACUGCCCUUUGUGGGACUUCAUUCCAGUCCCUUGUCCCAGAGGAACCUAUGGGCCAACUUCUGGUGCAACGUCCAUCGACAGCUGUUUCAAGUGUCCUGCUCAGCACUUCUGUCCUGGACCAGGCCUGUCCGCCUCCCUGCCCUGUGGUCCUGAGGCUCAGCAGCCUCUCUCUGGUCAAGACACCUGCGUUUGUCUGGGAGAGGGACAGAUUUUCCAGACCAGUGAUGGGAGGUGCCACUGCACCAUCGGCUACCAACCUGCCAACAAUGGAGAGGCGUGCGUACACAAACUCUACUAUGUCUGCAGAGAUGGAAGAACUCGUUCACAGUACGGAGACUGUCUGGACAGAUAUCAGUGGUUACUUCAUUGCAGGCAACAGGUGUGUCCCACUGAAGAGGACUACCGGGGUUAUGACGGGGAGCUUGGUCUGUGCGUAUGCAGAGAGCCUCCUGGAAGAUCUGCAUGUGGAGGCCUUUGUAGGAGAAGGCCAGCUACUGAGUUAAAGCUCAACUGCCAGUACAAUGGAGAUAUGGAGCUGGUGUGGAGCUACGGCAGUCAGGUGACAGGCGUCUCUGGCAGCGGGCUGGAUUUGUUUUUUAAACAGUCAGACUUCCUGGGGACUCCUCUGUGUACCAGUUAUCUCAACUCUUCACAUGCUGUCUACAUUGUUCAGACCACCGAGGCAGGCUUCAUCGGCCUCCUCAGCGGCCUCCCUAAGGAGCUUCAGCAGCUCUUUCCUGUCGGCACACAGUGGGACACUCAGACUUCAGGUGGGAGAGAUUCUGGCGUUCUGUGGGAGAUCACGGAAGAUGAAUACAUCAGUCGUGAAGGAAUAGAAAUGAAUUCCAGCCACAGGAAGGGAAACAAGAGUGAUACCAAGGAAGAAGUGAAAGACACAAGUGUAACCGGAGUCCUGAACCCCACAACUUGUCUCCGUUUGGGGGACGUUAUACUCUUCACUGUGGAUACACGUCUCUAUCCUCAGUAUGAUCUUGACAACUUGUACAACACAAACAGAGACUUCGACUGGGGCGCAUUCAGACAGCUGAAGGAAGAGCUGACCCUGUCUUGGACUCCUCCUAGUUUCUUUGCAGUGGUCUUUAGCCAGCCCGGAGUGUACGUUUUUACACUGAGCAGCAAUCAGCACAAACACUUGUAUGUGAGGGUGAUGCCUGCAGGCGGCCAGUGUUAUGAGCCCAGCCCCUUCUUCCCCACCAUCCCUCGACACGUGACCAGGGUGGGAAUCAGUAGGAGACGCAACCUGCUGCUGCGGCCGGACUGGCUGGUGACCGGAGGACUACUAUUUGGAGCUGUGAUCAUCCUGUGUAUUUGUGUUACACUGCUGAUCCUGUUUCGUGAAUAUGGAUGGCCUGAGAAGCAGCCAAUCACAGCCCGGUAUCGUUUGUCACAGCUGUCCUACCAAAUGGACGACUACUCGUCAAAAGGAUCGAGGGUGAUGUCACUGAGGAAGAUCCACCGAAACCAUCAAGCUCAAAUGACACAAGACUCCAUUCCGCCAGGUACAAUAUUCCAACCCACAGUCGCAGAGACAUGAUCUCUGCUCAUUCAUUUCAACGCUUAAAC